UCCGUAGGUGGCAAGCGUUGUCCGGAUUUACUGGGCGUAAAGAGCGCGCAGGCGGUCGUUCAAGUCGCGUGUGAAAGCCCCCGGCUCAACUGGGGAGGGUCACGCGAUACUGAUCGACUCGAAGGCAGGAGAGGGUAGUGGAAUUCCCGGUGUAGUGGUGAAAUGCGUAGAUAUCGGGAGGAACACCAGUGGCGAAGGCGACUACCUGGCCUGUUCUUGACGCUGAGGCGCGAAAGCUAGGGGAGCAAACGGG
Molecule: ribosomal RNA, 253 nt
Filed under: uncultured bacterium
Lineage: Bacteria
Description: partial 16S ribosomal RNA
Rfam family: Bacterial small subunit ribosomal RNA
Source: RNAcentral